CUACGGAGGGUCCGAGCGUUAAUGGGAAUUACUGGGCGUAAAGCGCGCGUAGGCGGCUAUAUAAGUCAGAUGUGAAAUCCCUGGGCUCAACCUAGGAACUGCAUUUGAAACUGUAUGGCUAGAGUAUGGUAGAGGUGAGUGGAAUUUCAGGUGUAGCGGUGAAAUGCGUAGAGAUCUGAAGGAACAUCAGUGGCGAAGGCGACUCACUGGGCCAUUACUGACGCUGAGGUGCGAAAGCGUGGGUAGCAAACAGGAUUAGAAACCCCAGUAGUCC
RNAcentral lists this ribosomal RNA (274 nucleotides) under uncultured bacterium. RNAcentral describes it as "partial 16S ribosomal RNA". It matches the Rfam family "Bacterial small subunit ribosomal RNA", at positions 523 to 796 of the family's 1533-position model. The record is from RNAcentral.